Molecule: ribosomal RNA, 324 nt
Filed under: uncultured eukaryote
Lineage: Eukaryota
Description: partial 18S ribosomal RNA
Rfam family: Eukaryotic small subunit ribosomal RNA
Source: RNAcentral
CCCUUAGAUGUUCUGGGCCGCACGCGCGCUACACUGAUGCAUUCAACGAGUUUCUUCCUGGUCCGAGAGGAAUGGGUAACCUUUUGAAAGUGCAUCGUGAUAGGGAUAGACUAUUGCAAUUAUUGGUCUUCAACGAGGAAUUCCUAGUAGACGUAGUUCAUCAGACUGCAUCGAUUACGUCCCUGCCCUUUGUACACACCGCCCGGCGCUCCUACCGAUUGAAUGCUCAGGUGAGCCAUUCGGACUUUCAUCAUGCUGGUUCCCAGUUUUGAUGAAGGAAAGUCUUGCGAACCUUAUCAUUUAGAGGAAGGAGAAGUCGUAACA